GACGAACGCUGGCGGCGUGCCUAAUACAUGCCAGUAGAACGCACAGUUUAUACCGUAGCUUGCUACACCAUAGACUGUGAGUUGCGAACGGGUGAGUAACGCGUAGGUAACCUGCCUGGUAGCGGGGGAUAACUAUUGGAAACGAUAGCUAAUACCGCAUAAUAUUAAUUAUUGCAUGAUAAUUGAUUGAAAGAUGCAACUGCAUCACUACCAGAUGGACCUGCGUUGUAUUAGCUAGUAGGUGAGGUAACGGCUCACCUAGGCGACGAUACAUAGCCGACCUGGGAGGGUGAUCGGCCACACUGGGACUGAGACACGGCCCAGACUCCUACGGGAGGCAGCAGUAGGGAAUCUUCGGCAAUGGACGAAAGUCUGACCGAGCAACGCCGCGUGAGUGAAGAAGGUUUUCGGAUCGUAAAGCUCUGUUGUAAGAGAAGAACGGGUGUGAGAGUGGAAAGUUCACACUGUGACGGUAUCUUACCAGAAAGGGACGGCUAACUACGUG
This 505-nucleotide ribosomal RNA is filed under the name uncultured bacterium. RNAcentral describes it as "partial 16S ribosomal RNA". It matches the Rfam family "Bacterial small subunit ribosomal RNA", at positions 28 to 507 of the family's 1533-position model. The record is from RNAcentral.